GGAGGAAUACCCAAGUCUGGCUGAAGGGAUCGGUCUUGAAAACCGACAGGCGUUCACAGCGCGCGCGGGUUCAAAUCCUGCUUCCUCCGCCA
RNAcentral lists this transfer RNA (92 nucleotides) under Acholeplasmataceae bacterium. Its description in RNAcentral is "tRNA-Ser". It matches the Rfam family "tRNA". From Rfam's summary of the family: Transfer RNA (tRNA) molecules are approximately 80 nucleotides in length. Their secondary structure includes four short double-helical elements and three loops (D, anti-codon, and T loops). Further hydrogen bonds mediate the characteristic L-shaped molecular structure. tRNAs have two regions of fundamental functional importance: the anti-codon, which is responsible for specific mRNA codon recognition, and the 3' end, to which the tRNAs corresponding amino acid is attached (by aminoacyl-tRNA synthetases). tRNAs cope with the degeneracy of the genetic code in two manners: having more than one tRNA (with a specific anti-codon) for a particular amino acid; and 'wobble' base-pairing, i.e. permitting non-standard base-pairing at the 3rd anti-codon position. Lineage: Bacteria; Bacillati; Mycoplasmatota; Mollicutes; Acholeplasmatales; Acholeplasmataceae. The record is from RNAcentral.